This 468-nucleotide ribosomal RNA is filed under the name uncultured bacterium. Its description in RNAcentral is "partial 16S ribosomal RNA". It matches the Rfam family "Bacterial small subunit ribosomal RNA", at positions 28 to 507 of the family's 1533-position model. The record is from RNAcentral.
GACGAACGCUGGCGGCGUGCUUAACACAUGCAAGUCGAACGGAAAGGCCCUGCUUUUGUGGGGUGCUCGAGUGGCGAACGGGUGAGUAACACGUGAGUAACCUGCCCUUGACUUUGGGAUAACUUCAGGAAACUGGGGCUAAUACCGGAUAGGAGCUCCUGCUGCAUGGUGGGGGUUGGAAAGUUUCGGCGGUUGGGGAUGGACUCGCGGCUUAUCAGCUUGUUGGUGGGGUAGUGGCUUACCAAGGCUUUGACGGGUAGCCGGCCUGAGAGGGUGACCGGCCACAUUGGGACUGAGAUACGGCCCAGACUCCUACGGGAGGAAGAAGUGGGGGAUAUUGCACAAUGGGCGGAAGCCUGAUGCAGCAACGCCGCGUGCGGGAUGACGGCCUUCGGGUUGUAAACCGCUUUCGCCUGUGACGAAGCGUGAGUGACGGUAAUGGGUAAAGAAGCACCGGCUAACUACGUG